This is a long non-coding RNA of Oncorhynchus keta (chum salmon), 580 nucleotides long. RefSeq lists it as uncharacterized. NCBI's taxonomy places the organism in Eukaryota, Metazoa, Chordata, Actinopteri, Salmoniformes, Salmonidae. The transcript has 3 exons. The record is from RefSeq and is a predicted model, not a curated record.
CUGGGAGAGUUGAACGAGGUAACUAAGCAACGUCUGCUUCAUAUUAAUACAGUUACUGGGAGAGUUGAACGAGGUAACUAAGCAACGUCUGCUUCAUAUUAAUACAGUUACUGGGAGAGUUGAACGAGGUAACUAAGCAACGUCUGCUUCAUAUUAAUACAGUUACUGGGAGAGUUGAACGAGGUAACUAAGCAACGUCUGCUUCAUAUUAAUACAGUUACUGGGAGAGUUGAACGAGGUAACUAGGCAACGUCUGCUUCAUAUUAAUACAGUUACUGGGAGAGUUGAACGAGGUAACUAAGCAACGUCUGCUUCAUAUUAAUACAGUUACUGGGAGAGUUGAACGAGGUAACUAAGCAACGUCUGCUUCAUAUUAAUACAGUUACUGGGAGAGUUGAACGAGGUAACUAAGCAACGUCUGCUUCAUAUUAAUACAGUUACUGGGAGAGUUGAACGAGGUAACUAAGCAACGUCUGCUUCAUAUUAAUACAGUUACUGGGAGAGUUGAACGAGGUAACUAAGCAACGUCUGCUUCAUAUUAAUACAGUUACUGGGAGAGUUGAACGAGGUAACUAGGCAA